AGAGAACGCUGGCGGUAGGCCUAACACAUGCAAGUCGAACGGCAGCACAGGAGAGCUUGCUCUCUGGGUGGCGAGUGGCGGACGGGUGAGGAAUACAUCGGAAUCUACUCUGUCGUGGGGGAUAACGUAGGGAAACUUACGCUAAUACCGCAUACGACCUACGGGUGAAAGCAGGGGACCUUCGGGCCUUGCGCGAUUGAAUGAGCCGAUGUCGGAUUAGCUAGUUGGCGGGGUAAAGGCCCACCAAGGCGACGAUCCGUAGCUGGUCUGAGAGGAGGAUCAGCCACACUGGAACUGAGACACGGUCCAGACUCCUACGUGAGGCAGCAGUGGGGAAUAUUGGACAAUGGGCGCAAGCCUGAUCCAGCCAUACCGCGUGGGUGAAGAAGGCCUUCGGGUUGUAAAGCCCUUUUGUUGGGAAAGAAAUCCAGCUGGCUAAUACCCGGUUGGGAUGACGGUACCCAAAGAAUAAGCACCGGCUAACUUCGUGCCAGCCGCCGCCGUAA
RNAcentral lists this ribosomal RNA (506 nucleotides) under uncultured bacterium. RNAcentral describes it as "partial 16S ribosomal RNA". It matches the Rfam family "Bacterial small subunit ribosomal RNA", at positions 31 to 523 of the family's 1533-position model. The record is from RNAcentral.